Molecule: non-coding RNA, 1924 nt
Organism: Python bivittatus (Burmese python)
Lineage: Eukaryota; Metazoa; Chordata; Lepidosauria; Squamata; Pythonidae
Source: RefSeq, a predicted model, not a curated record
GACAAUAAUCUCCCUUUGGUUCAAGGUGGCCAAAGGAAAUGAAUGCAAAAUGUGACUUAAGAGAUUGUGUUCCUCCUUGAAGGAUGUGGGGAGAGAGAGACUCCUAACUGACAUGCCAUAGCAUGCAGUGUAAGAGAUUGUCAAGCCACAUUCAAGAGGGCAAGAUCAAGCAAGCAAGAACCACGCAGAUUUCUGUUAUUUUUAAUGCAAGCCAGGGGAAAGGGUAACUACAAAAUCUUGGAAACUGCAAGAGGAAUUUCGAACCUUCAUUUAUCAUGGAUUUGUUAAGCCUACAAAAAAUUGAUUGUCCUUCAUAACAGCAAGACAAUAUAUCUAUUCUUGGUUUUAUGAUGGAAUCAACUGAAGGGAGAAGAGUGCUAAAUGCUCUAUUUACACAAAAAACGGAUCACAGCUUCUCCUAGAAAAUGUUUGUAAAAGAUGCCUGGAUCUUUGAUCUUUCCAUUGUUCCUUGUAUGGACUAAAACCACUAAACUUUCUUCCCUGGCACUUCCACACUUCAAGGGAACCGGUUCAGAUACUAUUAGAGUUGACCGGAUAAUGGUUUCUCCUGCUAAUCGCAACUAUUGUUCAAGGAACUGUCAACAUUUAUUGAAACGUUAGGUAACUUUGUGGUUCCUCAGUUCUAUUCAGGUGGUAUGAUUACAGUAAAUGGUAUUUUUUGUGUACUCAUGGAGUUGGCAUUAUUAAAUGCAGAACUUGCCUCCAACACCCUACUGGCUUAAGAGAGCCAGUGUGCUGUAGUGAUUGAAGGAUUAGUCUAGGAUGGGAGAGAGCCCAGGUUCAAGUCCAUCCUCAGACACUCGCUGGAUGACUUCUGGGCCAUUCUCUUUCAGCCCAACCCACCUCACAGAGUUAUUGUUCUGUAGAACGAUGGAAGGAGGAGUACUACCUCGAGUUUUUGGAGGAAAGGAAGAUAUAAAUCUAACAAGCCUGUGCUUUUAAUAUAACUCCAACUGUUUAUAUUGGGAAAUGCCUGAAUAUGGCUUUCAUCCCCUUUCUGGUCUAUUUUUGCCUAGUCCCCUAAAAUACAUACAUACAUACAUACAUACAUACAUACAUACAUACAUUCCUCCCUCCCUCCAUCAUAUGGCCAUCUAUCUCAUAUAAUGAUCCCAGGUGGUUCACAACAACCACUUCUUGACCUCUAGUACACUUAAGAGCAAGUUCUGCCUUUUCUUACUUCAGUUCCCAUCUCCUCUGACACACAAAAUACCUUAAACCUCAUUUUCUAUCUUUCAUUCAGAUUCAGUUUUUUCUCUUUCUAUUGCUUAACUGCAUCCUUCCUUUGGCCUCCUUCCUUCUGGGUUCGCUGUCCCUUAAUUUCCUGUCCUCCUGGGAACUAUUGCCAAUCAACUUCCCCAUGUGAUAUUUGAAUCACAACCAAACUAUCAUGUUUCCCUUUUCUCAAAGAUGUCCAAGGGUAAACUGCUUUGUUCUCUGAGCAAUUGGACAUUCCGGUUCAUCUCACAAAUUGCCCAGUUGGUAUUAGAGCCUAUGAACAAUGAUAAUGCAGAAUUAGGACUUUUAAAGAAAUUACAGACAUUAGCAAAAUCUUUCCAUAGAAAUCCAUAUGGAUUCUUCUGCAUCUUGAAUUGCAUUUUCUUCACUGAAGGUAACACCCAGGUCUGUCAGAGCUAACUAUAUCCCAGAACUCUGCAUUGGAGUAAUCCAAAUUCUGUGCCUAGAAAAGCCAUCCUCCAAGUAUGAACAUUGUACAAAUAAGUCCCACUUGAUUCCCAGGAAGUCUCAGGAAUUCUUCCUGAACAGUUUAUACCUGCUUCUGAUGGUUGUGGGAAGGGAACAAAUCUGUGCUUCAUGUUGUUGUCAGCUGAGAUUGGAAAAAAAAUCUGCUUCCCCUUUUUCACAAGACGCGGCCCAUGCACUCUUUUUGCUACCAAAAGUG